RNAcentral lists this ribosomal RNA (449 nucleotides) under uncultured bacterium. RNAcentral describes it as "bacterial SSU rRNA". It matches the Rfam family "Bacterial small subunit ribosomal RNA", at positions 29 to 524 of the family's 1533-position model. The record is from RNAcentral.
AGCGAACGCUGGCGGCAGGCCUAACACAUGCAAGUCGAGCGCCGUAGCAAUACGGAGCGGCAGACGGGUGAGUAACGCGUGGGAACAUACCCUUCGGUUCGGAAUAACUCAGGGGAACUUGAGCUAAUACCGAAUACGUCCGUGAGGAGAAAGAUUUAUCGCCGAAGGAUUGGCCCGCGUAAGAUUAGCUAGUUGGUGAGGUAACGGCUCACCAAGGCUAUGAUCUUUAGCGUUCUGAGAGGAAGAUCAGCCACACUGGGACUGAGACACGGCCCAGACUCCUACGGGAGGCAGCAGUGGGGAAUAUUGGACAAUGGGCGCAAGCCUGAUCCAGCCAUGCCGCGUGAGUGAUGAAGGCCUUAGGGUUGUAAAGCUCUUUUACCAGGGAAGAUAAUGACUGUACCUGGAGAAUAAGCCCCGGCUAACUUCGUGCCAGCCGCCGCAGUAAG